UACGUAGGUGGCAAGCGUUGUCCGGAUUUACUGGGUGUAAAGGGCGUGUAGGCGGAGCUGCAAGUCAGAUGUGAAAUCCCGGGGCUCAACCCCGGAACUGCAUUUGAAACUGUAGCCCUUGAGUAUCGGAGAGGCAGGCGGAAUUCCUUGUGUAGCGGUGAAAUGCGUAGAUAUUAGGAGGAACACCAGUGGCGAAGGCGGCCUGCUGGACGACAACUGACGCUGAGGCGCGAAAGCGUGGGGAGCAAACAGG
This 253-nucleotide ribosomal RNA is filed under the name uncultured bacterium. Its description in RNAcentral is "partial 16S ribosomal RNA". It matches the Rfam family "Bacterial small subunit ribosomal RNA", at positions 524 to 776 of the family's 1533-position model. The record is from RNAcentral.